AUACGUAGGGAGCGAGCGUUGUCCGGAAUUACUGGGUGUAAAGGGUGCGUAGGCGGGACUGCAAGUCAGAUGUGAAAUGCCGGGGCUCAACCCCGGAGCUGCAUUUGAAACUGUGGGUCUUGAGUGAGGUAGAGGUAAGCGGAAUUCCUAGUGUAGCGGUGAAAUGCGUAGAUAUUAGGAGGAACAUCGGUGGCGAAGGCGGCUUACUGGGCCUUUACUGACGCUGAGGCACGAAAGCGUGGGGAGCAAACAGGAUUAGAUACCCUGGUAGUCCACGCUGUAAACGAUGAUGACUAGGUGUGGGGGGACUGAACCCUUCCGUGCCGCAGUUAACACAAUAAGCAUUCCGCCUGGGGAGUACGGCCGCAAGGUUGAAACUCAAAUGAAUUGGCGGGG
RNAcentral lists this ribosomal RNA (396 nucleotides) under uncultured bacterium. RNAcentral's name for it is "partial 16S ribosomal RNA". It matches the Rfam family "Bacterial small subunit ribosomal RNA", at positions 523 to 918 of the family's 1533-position model. The record is from RNAcentral.